Molecule: ribosomal RNA, 252 nt
Filed under: uncultured bacterium
Lineage: Bacteria
Description: partial 16S ribosomal RNA
Rfam family: Bacterial small subunit ribosomal RNA
Source: RNAcentral
UACGGAGGGUGCAAGCGUUAUCCGGAUUCACUGGGUUUAAAGGGUGCGUAGGUGGGUUGGUAAGUCAGUGGUGAAAUCUCCGUGCUUAACAUGGAACUGCCAUUGAUACUACUGAUCUUGAAUUUUCUGGAGGUAAGCGGAAUAUGUCAUGUAGCGGUGAAAUGCUUAGAUAUGACAUAGAACGCCAAUUGCGAAGGCAGCUUGCUACAGGGAUAUUGACACUGAGGCACGAAAGCGUGGGGAUCAAACAGG